UAUUUUUGAUCUAUUAUUAAAGACCCCAAAAACAAGCAUAUUUCAAAUGACGUUCUGCACAGUCAGUGAUGUAUGUGCUCUGGAUGCCACUAAUCUUCACAAAAUGUGAUAAUAAUGUUAUCUGUUAACAUAAAAGCGAAGUUUAACUCCACAGAAGCAGCUGGAAAUAGAUAACCACAAUAUGCUUAAAUCUCUUAGGAACACACAGUUUGACAUAUACUGCUAAAAGUUCCUCAUAUUUAGGAAUUCUUUUAAGGAAAAUACUUGUGCUGAGUCUCAGCUGGUGUGCAUGAAGGGAUAUUCAUUUCCCAGUGGUAACAGGGAAUUUGAUUUUUUUAACCUUUU
Tyto alba (common barn owl) is the source of this 345-nucleotide non-coding RNA. The record is from Rfam. Lineage: Eukaryota; Metazoa; Chordata; Aves; Strigiformes; Tytonidae.